UGCGAAUGGCUCAUUAAAUCAGUUAUCGUUUAUUUGAUAGUACCUUACUACUUGGAUAACCGUGGUAAUUCUAGAGCUAAUACAUGCUAAAAAUCCCGACCUCUGGAAGGGAUGUAUUUAUUAGAUAAAAAACCAAUGCUCUCGGGCUUCUUGGUGAUUCAUGAUAACUUUACGAAUCGCAUGGCCUUGUGCCGGCGAUGGUUCAUUCAAAUUUCUGCCCUAUCAACUUUCGAUGGUAGGAUAGUGGCCUACCAUGGUUUCAACGGGUAACGGGGAAUUAGGGUUCGAUUCCGGAGAGGGAGCCUGAGAAACGGCUACCACAUCCAAGGAAGGCAGCAGGCGCGCAAAUUACCCAAUCCCGACACGGGGAGGUAGUGACAAUAAAUACUGAUACAGGGCCCUUUCGGGUCUUGUAAUUGGAAUGAGUACAAUUUAAACCCUUUAACGAGGAACAAUUGGAGGGCAAGUCUGGUGCCAGCAGCCGCGGUAAUUCCAGCUCCAAUAGCGUAUAUUAAAGUUGUUGCAGUUAAAAAGCUCGUAGUUGAACUUUGGGUCUGGGUGACUGGUCUGCGUCUACCGCAUGUACUAGAAACCCGGAUCUUUCCUUCUGGAGAUCCGCAUGCACUUCACUGGGUGUGCCGGGGAACCAGGACUUUUACUUUGAAAAAAUUAGAGUGUUCAAAGCAGGCAUUUGCUCGAAUACAUUAGCAUGGAAUAAUAAAAUAGGACGUGCGGUUCUAUUUUGUUGGUUUCUAGGACCGCCGUAAUGAUUAAUAGGGAUAGUCGGGGGCAUCCGUAUUCGAUUGUCAGAGGUGAAAUUCUUGGAUUUUUCGAAGACGAACUACUGCGAAAGCAUUUGCCAAGGAUGUUUUCAUUAAUCAGGAACGAAAGUUGAGGGAUCGAAGACGAUCAGAUACCGUCGUAGUCUCAACCAUAAACUAUGCCGACUAGGGAUUGGGCGACUGUGUUUUUUGAGUUGCUCAGCACCUUACGAGAAAUUAAAGUUUUUGGGUUCUGGGGGGAGUAUGGUCGCAAGGCUGAAACUUAAAGGAAUUGACGGAAGGGCACCACCAGGAGUGGAGCCUGCGGCUUAAUUUGACUCAACACGGGGAAACUCACCAGGUCCAGACACAUUAAGGAUUGACAGAUUGAGAGCUCUUUCUUGAUCAUGUGGGUGGUGGUGCAUGGCCGUUCUUAGUUGGUGGAGUGAUUUGUCUGCUUAAUUGCGAUAACGAACGAGACCUUAACCUGCUAAAUAGCUGGGCUCG
Molecule: ribosomal RNA, 1268 nt
Filed under: Lamprospora lutziana
Lineage: Eukaryota; Fungi; Ascomycota; Pezizomycetes; Pezizales; Pyronemataceae
Description: SSU rRNA
Rfam family: Eukaryotic small subunit ribosomal RNA
Source: RNAcentral